AGCGAAUACAUGUUCUUCUUAGCAGCACAUGGAUCCUUCUCUAAAAUAGACCAUACGUUAUGCCACAAAGUAAUUCUUAGCAAAUACUAAAACCUAGAGUUACUACCCUGCAUUCUAUCAGAUCAUAAUGGAAUGAAAUUAGAAAUCAAUGAUAAAAUAAAAAAUAAAAGCUACUCCAACACCUGGAGACUAAAUAAUAUGCUCCUGAAUGAACAAUGGGUUGCAAAAGACAUCAAGGAGGAGAUUAAAAAUAUUCUUAGAGGUAAAUGAGAACAUUGAUACAACAUAUCGAAAUCUCUGGGACACUAUGAAGGCAGUACUAAGAGGAAAGUUCACUGCAUGGAGUUCAGUCCUUGAAACACAACAACAACAAAAAAUCAAAGAAUAAAUGAUUUAAUGUUACAUCUCAAAGCCCUAGAAAAAUACGAACAAAUCAACACCAAAAGCAGUAGAAGACAGGAAAUAAUUAAAAUCAGAGCUCAAGUCAAUGAAAUUGAAACAAAAGAAACUACUGAAAAAAAAAUGAGAAAACAAAAAGUUGAUUCUUUGGAUAAAUAAAUAAAAUUGACAAACCUUUAGCCAUGCUAUGAAGAGAAGGAGAGAGAUAACUCAAAUCACUAACACACAUGAUGAAAAAGGAAAUAUCACAACAGACACUACAGAAAUACAGGAGAUAAUUAGAAAUUAUUUUAAAACUUGUACUCCAGUAGAAUAGAAAAUAUAUAAGACAUUGACAAAUUUCUAGAUUCAUAGGAUUUGCCCAGAUUGAACCAGGAAGAUAUACACAAUUAAAACAGAUCAAUAUCAAGUGAGGAAACAGAAGACACCAUCAGAAGCCUACCAACCAAGAAAAGCCCAGGACCACAUGGA
Molecule: long non-coding RNA, 870 nt
Filed under: Marmota monax (woodchuck)
Lineage: Eukaryota; Metazoa; Chordata; Mammalia; Rodentia; Sciuridae
Source: RNAcentral